Molecule: ribosomal RNA, 442 nt
Filed under: uncultured bacterium
Lineage: Bacteria
Description: partial 16S ribosomal RNA
Rfam family: Bacterial small subunit ribosomal RNA
Source: RNAcentral
CCUACGGGAGGCAGCAGUGGGGAAUAUUGGACAAUGGGCGCAAGCCUGACCCAGCAACGCCGCGUGAAGGAAGAAGGCUUUCGGGUUGUAAACUUCUUUUAAGAGGGAAGAGCAGAAGACGGUACCUCUUGAAUAAGCCACGGCUAACUACGUGCCAGCAGCCGCGGUAAUACGUAGGUGGCAAGCGUUGUCCGGAUUUACUGGGUGUAAAGGGCGUGCAGCCGGGAAGACAAGUCAGAUGUGAAAUCCCGGGGCUCAACCGCGGAACUGCAUUGGAAACUGUUUUUCUUGAGUACCGGAGAGGUCAUCGGAAUUCCAUGUGUAGCGGUGAAAUGCGUAGAUAUAAGGAAGAACACCAGUGGCGAAGGCGGAUGACUGGACGGCAACUGACGGUGAGGCGCGAAAGCGUGGGGAGCAAACAGGAUUAGAUACCCGGGUAGUC